GGGCGAGCGUUGUCCGGAAUUAUUGGGCGUACAGGGUACGUAGGCGGCCUUUUAAGUCAGGUGUGAAAGCGUGAGGCUCAACCUCAUUAAGCACUUGAAACUGGAAGGCUUGAGUGAAGGAGAGGAAAGUGGAAUUCCUAGUGUAGCGGUGAAAUGCGUAGAUAUUAGGAGGAAUACCGGUGGCGAAGGCGACUUUCUGGACUUUUACUGACGCUCAGGUACGAAAGCGUGGGGAGCAAA
Molecule: ribosomal RNA, 240 nt
Filed under: uncultured bacterium
Lineage: Bacteria
Description: partial 16S ribosomal RNA
Rfam family: Bacterial small subunit ribosomal RNA
Source: RNAcentral